AUAAAUAAGCCCAACUAAAAAGCGGAAAAGAAAAACCCUACCCAGUUGCUUAGUGGUUUAUACUUCCAGACUUGGGCUCACACACUUUUGAGGGGAAAUGUCAUUACCAGAUGACUGCUAAUCUGUUUACUUGUUGCAGAUGACCUGGGCCCCUUCUCAGAGCUUCAGAACCGGGGUUCCCGACACUCAGGCCCCUUCUUUACCUUCUCUUCCUCCUUCCCUGGGCACUCCGAUUUCUCCUCCUCAUCUUUCUCCUUCAGUCCUGGGGCUGGUGCUUUUCGCUCUGUUUCUACAUCUACCACCUUUGUCCAAGGACGCCGCAUCACCACACGCAGAAUCAUGGAGAAUGGGCAGGAGCGGGUGGAAGUGGAGGAGGAUGGGCAGCUGAAGUCAGUCACAAUCAAUGGUGUCCCAGAUGACCUGGCACUGGGCUUGGAGCUGAGCCGUCGCGAGCAGCAGCCGUCAGUCACUUCCAGGUCUGGGGGCACUCAGGUCCAGCAGACCCCUGCCUCAUGCCCCUUGGACAGCGACCUCUCUGAGGAUGAGGACCUGCAGCUGGCCAUGGCCUACAGCCUGUCAGAGAUGGAGGCAGCUGGGAAGAAACCCGCAGGUGGGCGGGAGGCACAGCACCGACGGCAGGGGCGGCCCAAGGCCCAGCACCAAGAUCCAGGCUUGGGGGGGACCCAGGAGGGUGCGAGGGGUGAAGCAACCAAACGCAGCCCAUCCCCAGAGGAGAAGGCCUCUCGCUGCCUCAUCCUCUGAACACCGGGCCCAACCUGAUCUGAUCCAGAUCUUGACUGGGGGUCUGACUCACUGUGGGAAGAGAAGAGGGGAGUAUCCUGAGUUGUAGGAACUGCUUUCCAACUCCAUGCUCCCUCCACAAGUUUCCCUCCCAGGCCCCCCGCACCCCAGUGUGGACUUGGGAUUUGCUGUGCUCAGCCCAGGGCUGAUAGGUCCCUGGUGAAGCCCA
This 970-nucleotide small RNA is filed under the name Pan troglodytes (chimpanzee). Its description in RNAcentral is "retained intron". The record is from RNAcentral. Lineage: Eukaryota; Metazoa; Chordata; Mammalia; Primates; Hominidae.